AUGGCAAGAUUCUGGCAGGGGAGUUUUGUGGAUAAGCGUUCUUUGCAUUGGAUUGCCUCGGACAAACUUGCUACACCAAAGAUUAAGGGAGGGAUGGGCUUUCGUAACCUCUGACAGUUUAACCUAGUGCUUCUCGGGAAGCAUGGCUGGAGGUUCAUGACAAAACCGGACGCUCUCUGCACAAGAGUGAUGAAAGGAAGAUACUUCCGUAACUGUGAUUUUAUGCAGGCAACAACACCCAAAUCUUCAUCAGCUAUAUGGAGGGCCAUCAUAGCUGGUUGUGAAGCUCUCAAUGUUGGCUUGGUAAAAUGCAUCGGUGACGGCGUAUCCACCUCCAUCUGGGAGGACCAAUGGAUCCCGUCGACUGUCUCUAUGAGACCACUUUUUAGGCCAUCGUCUACUACUGUAGACACGGUUAACGAUCUAAUUGACAUGGACAAUUGGACCUGGAGGCGUGAUCUUGUACGCACAACUUUCAUCACACCGAACGUGGAGGCAAUAUUGAACAUCCCACUCCGGCAGGGCAGUGGAGAGGAUUUCCUUGGUUGGGCACACAAGUGA
This 561-nucleotide ribosomal RNA is filed under the name Triticum aestivum (bread wheat). Its description in RNAcentral is "partial small subunit ribosomal RNA". The record is from RNAcentral. Lineage: Eukaryota; Viridiplantae; Streptophyta; Magnoliopsida; Poales; Poaceae.